GCACAUUGGUAUUGAAGGAACUAGAUACUGUUCCGAAAUAUCACUUACUCGAACCGUCCUGACCGCGUAGCUCAGUCGGAAGAGCAUUGGGCUAGUAUUCCAAAGGUCGUAGGUUCGAAUCCCACCGUGGCCGGGCAUAUUUUUCAAGCUCGCCCGGUGUGGAUAUGCACUCAGAGUAACAUCGCAAACAUAUUAUUCACCCGAGUACACAACACCAACACAGAAAAAUUCAUAUUACUAGAACACAUUGGUAUUGAAGGAACUAGAUACUGUUCCGAAAGAUCAC
This is a non-coding RNA of Paramuricea clavata, 286 nucleotides long. NCBI's taxonomy places the organism in Eukaryota, Metazoa, Cnidaria, Anthozoa, Malacalcyonacea, Plexauridae. The record is from the annotation of a GenBank genome assembly.